This 373-nucleotide ribosomal RNA is filed under the name uncultured bacterium. RNAcentral's name for it is "bacterial SSU rRNA". It matches the Rfam family "Bacterial small subunit ribosomal RNA", at positions 523 to 898 of the family's 1533-position model. The record is from RNAcentral.
ACACGUAAGGGGCGAGCGUUGUUCGGAAUUAUUGGGCGUAAAGGGCGCGUAGGCGGGAAGCCAAGCCUGAUGUCAAAUACCCCGGCUCAACUGGGGGACUGCAUUGGGAACUGGUUUUCUUGAGUAUAAGAGGGGAUGUUGGAAUUCCAGGUGUAGGGGUGAAAUCUGUAGAUAUCUGGAAGAACACCGGUGGCGAAGGCGAACAUCUGGCUAUAUACUGACGCUGAGGCGCGAAAGCGUGGGGAGCGAACAGGAUUAGAUACCCUGGUAGUCCACGCUGUAAACGAUGUGCACUAGGAGAUGGGUGGUAGCAUUCAUUUCCGCAGCAAACGCAUUAAGUGCACCGCCUGGGGAGUAUGCUCGCAAGGGUGAA